AGACUUUCAAAGAUGAAAACUUUCCAGAACCCUAAAACAAAAAGAAUUCAAUUUCGACAGCCGCCGGUUUUCUCUGUCGGAAGAAAGAUGCAUCCUUCAAAGAUGAUUCAAGACUAGCCUUUUUGGGUAAGAUUCUGCUCUUGUGUGAGAAUGGUUUGCUUCAGUUUUGCUCUGAUGUUUCUCUAUCAAUCUAAUUUCAUCUUCAGAUUUCUGCCUCUCAGACUUAAACAUCGACAUUUUAGACUUCCCUUUAUUCUCUACUUCAUCUGCAUAUCUCAAACUUCACAAUUUUCUCUGUGUCUUUUUGGAACUUGUUGAUUGAUUCAACGUGUAUCAGAACUUCACGACUGUGAGGUUUUGGCGUGAGGAUUAAACACGGUGAUAAAUAAAACAAAAAUAGCACAUUUGGCUGCAUCCAUCUAAUCAUGAAAAGAUCAGUUGGCCGUCUUUGCGCGACAGUUUUGUUUUCAUAAGCAAUUUGUGUCUUGAGUUGUCUACAUUCCAUUUUAUCUGUCGAUUUUUCCAAAGAUUGAUGCGUAUAUGUUCUGUUUGUUAUUUAUACGAUCCAUGCUCUGUUUGCCCGAUAAUAAAGCUUUUUUUUCUCUUUGGACAUGUGAAACGAAGAAGACGAUUCAGGAUUACCUGGAGAUAAAAGCUUGGGAAUUGAUGCAAGAAAUGCAGAUGAUCAAGUGAAAGCAAUCUGAUGAAAGCCAAAUCUCAAUAAUUGCGACUAGUAGAUUAAUAGCUCAAUGACCUUGGCUUGUCAAUGCCUUUUUAAUGUCAAAGAAAUUUUAGUAAAAUUUGCUUACAUCUCUUUUC
Molecule: long non-coding RNA, 819 nt
Filed under: Eutrema salsugineum
Lineage: Eukaryota; Viridiplantae; Streptophyta; Magnoliopsida; Brassicales; Brassicaceae
Description: long non-coding RNA (ESAL_LNC002104)
Source: RNAcentral